This 380-nucleotide ribosomal RNA is filed under the name uncultured eukaryote. RNAcentral describes it as "partial 18S ribosomal RNA". It matches the Rfam family "Eukaryotic small subunit ribosomal RNA", at positions 592 to 976 of the family's 1831-position model. The record is from RNAcentral.
CAAUAGCGUAUAUUAAAGUUGUUGCGGUUAAAAAGCUCGUAGUUGGAGUUCUGCCAGGUGCCGCCUGUCCGCCCCAGUGGUGAGUACGUGGCGCGCAUUUGGCCCUUUCAAGGGGAGCGUAUCUGCACUUUAUUGUGUGGUGCGGGAUCCUUGACUUUUACUUUGAGGAAAUAGGAGUGUUCCAAGCAGGCUCUCGUCGUGCACAGCUCAGCAUGGAAUAAUAGCAUUGGACCUCGAUUCUAAGCUGUUGGUUGCCAGAAGCGAGGUAAUGAUGAAGAGGGAUAGUUGGGGGCAUUCGUAUUUAACUGUCAGAGGUGAAAUUCCUGGAUUUGUUAAAGACGGACUACUGCGAAAGCAUCUGCCAUGGAUGUUUUCAUUGA